RNAcentral lists this ribosomal RNA (497 nucleotides) under uncultured bacterium. Its description in RNAcentral is "partial 16S ribosomal RNA". It matches the Rfam family "Bacterial small subunit ribosomal RNA", at positions 28 to 507 of the family's 1533-position model. The record is from RNAcentral.
GACGAACGCUGGCGGCGUGCCUAAUACAUGCAAGUAGAACGCUGAAGAGAGGAGCUUGCUCUUCUUGGAUGAGUUGCGAACGGGUGAGUAACGCGUAGGUAACCUGCCUUGUAGCGGGGGAUAACUAUUGGAAACGAUAGCUAAUACCGCAUAACAAUGGAUGACACAUGUCAUUUAUUUGAAAGGGGCAAUUGCUCCACUACAAGAUGGACCUGCGUUGUAUUAGCUAGUAGGUGAGGUAAUGGCUCACCUAGGCGACGAUACAUAGCCGACCUGAGAGGGUGAUCGGCCACACUGGGACUGAGACACGGCCCAGACUCCUACGGGAGGCAGCAGUAGGGAAUCUUCGGCAAUGGGGGCAACCCUGACCGAGCAACGCCGCGUGAGUGAAGAAGGUUGUCGGAUCGGAAAGCUCGGUUGUAAGUCAAGAACGGGUGUGAGAGUGGAAAGUUCACACUGUGACGGUAGCUUACCAGAAAGGGACGGCUAACUACGUG